Solanum tuberosum (potato) is the source of this 632-nucleotide long non-coding RNA. RefSeq lists it as uncharacterized. The transcript is spliced from 2 exons. The record is from RefSeq and is a predicted model, not a curated record. Lineage: Eukaryota; Viridiplantae; Streptophyta; Magnoliopsida; Solanales; Solanaceae.
UGAAAAAAAUAAAAAACAAACUAAAAAGCCUAGUUUCCUAAUACAUUUUCCUUUAGACAAGGUUUUUCUAAACGCCGCUUCUUCCUCAUGUGACCAACAAACCUCCACAUCUAAAUUACGUUUCUCCUGCUAUGAUCUAACAAAUCUUUCCAUCUUCUCCUAAAUUCUCCUCCUUGAUUGAAUCUAACUCGUUCGGGGCGCAAUUGUGUUCUCUGAUACGCUGGCUUGUGCUUGUGAUAUUUUGUUUGUGGAUCUUCUCUGCUAGGGGCGGGCUUCUUUACUGUGUGAGUCACAUUUCUUUCUUCUUUUUCCAACUCCAUCUUCAAACUACUGAUUUCUUUGUCUUCUUUUUGUAUAUGAUGCUUGACCAACUUGCAAGGUUUACUCUGGUCCAUCAUCUUCCUGUUUUACUCCGAUCCAAGAAACAAGACUAUCUUGCAUUUCAUACUUGUAAUAUUUACUAGAUUUGAUGUACAUCUUGUAAAUGUAAAACAUCUAUGUUGUAUCCUUUCAUCCCCCCUUAUCCCUCCUUGAUGAUAUUCGUAGAUAUGGGCUCUGUAUCUUAUCACUAUUUAAUAUCCUUCUUCCCUUUGAUUCUAGGCUCGCAAAUCCUGUAUAUAUGCAAUUUUCAU